Molecule: ribosomal RNA, 305 nt
Filed under: uncultured bacterium
Lineage: Bacteria
Description: bacterial SSU rRNA
Rfam family: Bacterial small subunit ribosomal RNA
Source: RNAcentral
UACCUACGGGACGCAGCAGUGGGGAAUAUUGGGCAAUGGGCGCAAGCCUGACCCAGCAACGCCGCGUGAAGGAAGAAGGCUUUCGGGUUGUAAACUUCUUUUCUCAGGGACGAAGAAUGACGGUACCUCGUAAGAAAGCCCCGGCUAACUACGUGCCAGCAGCCGCGGUAAUACGUAGGGAGCAAGCGUUGUCCGGAAUGACUGGGCGUAAAGGGAGUGUAGGCGGCCUUGUAAGUUAGAUGUGAAAUCCUACGGCUUAACCGUAGAACUGCAUCUAAAACUGUGAGGCUGGAGUGCAGGAGAGG